This 301-nucleotide ribosomal RNA is filed under the name uncultured bacterium. RNAcentral describes it as "partial 16S ribosomal RNA". It matches the Rfam family "Bacterial small subunit ribosomal RNA", at positions 509 to 807 of the family's 1533-position model. The record is from RNAcentral.
CAGUAGCCACGGUAAUACGAAGGGUGCAAGCGUUAAUCGGAAUUACUGGGCGUAAAGCGUGCGUAGGCGGUUUGUUAAGUCUGCUGUGAAAUCCCCGGGCUCAACCUGGGAAUGGCAGUGGAUACUGGCGAGCUAGAGUGUGUCAGAGGAUGGUGGAAUUCCCGGUGUAGCGGUGAAAUGCGUAGAGAUCGGGAGGAACAUCAGUGGCGAAGGCGGCCAUCUGGUACAACACUGACGCUGAGGCACGAAAGCGUGGGGAGCAAACAGGAUUAGAUACCCCCGUAGUCCCUGUCUCUUAUAC